AUGAACGCUGGCGGCGUGCCUAAUACAUGCAAGUCGAACGAAACUUCUUUAUCACCGAGUGCUUGCACUCACCGAUAAAGAGUUGAGUGGCGAACGGGUGAGUAACACGUGGGCAACCUGCCCAAAAGAGGGGGAUAACACUUGGAAACAGGUGCUAAUACCGCAUAACCAUAGUUACCGCAUGGUAACUAUGUAAAAGGUGGCUAUACUACCGCUUUUGGAUGGGCCCGCGGCGCAUUAGCUAGUUGGUAGGGUAAAGGCUUACCAAGGCAAUGAUGCGUAGCCGAAUUGAGAGGUUGAUCGGCCACAUUGGGACUGAGACACGGCCCAAACUCCUACGGGAGGCAGCAGUAGGGAAUCUUCCACAAUGGGCGAAAGCCUGAUGGAGCAACGCCGCGUGGGUGAAGAAGGUCUUCGGAUCGUAAAACCCUGUUGCUAGAGAAGAAAGUGCGUGAGAGUAACUGUUCACGUUUCGACGGUAUCUAACCAGAAAGCCACGGCUAACUACGUG
RNAcentral lists this ribosomal RNA (511 nucleotides) under uncultured bacterium. RNAcentral's name for it is "partial 16S ribosomal RNA". It matches the Rfam family "Bacterial small subunit ribosomal RNA", at positions 29 to 507 of the family's 1533-position model. The record is from RNAcentral.